Molecule: long non-coding RNA, 309 nt
Filed under: Pan troglodytes (chimpanzee)
Lineage: Eukaryota; Metazoa; Chordata; Mammalia; Primates; Hominidae
Description: lncRNA (ENSPTRG00000053439.1)
Source: RNAcentral
AUGUCCAGCAAUUCUUUGAAACCCUAUCAAGCCUUGAUGGGCAAUCUUCCCAGAAGGUACACAGCUCUGGACGUACCAACACUCUAUUUAAAAACCGGUAAGGUAGAGUGGAAGGCAGAGCUGAGUGAAACUGACACCUGGUAUUUGCUGGAGGUUUCUUUCUGGAAAGCUGACAGCACACCUCUGACCCUCUCCAAAAGGUCUGAUGUGAAAUAUUGCGACAAAGUUGGAAUCAAUUGGCAGGAUCUCCUGGAGGUUCCUGGGUACACUCCAUUUGAAAAAGCUGUGGUCAACAGCACUGAUUCUUAA